UCUGCAAUUUUCUCUUCAAGAUUUGCUCAGUAAUUGGUAAAUAAUUGAACGUCCGAUUUUCUCAUUCUAAUUGAUGCUAUCUUAUAUAUUUUUAAAGUAAUUUAAUUAAUUUUACAACCAACUUAACUUCUUCUAAGCUUCGACCCAUAGAUUCUAAUUAAUUGAAGUCGUUAACGUGUGCAUUAUACGCGCUAUGCAAUAAUUUAUUAAUCACAACGCUAGAUGGCAGCACCUUUUUUCUCAACACUUAUUGCAUAACGGAGUUAAGCAAUAGUUGCAUAGUGUAGAGUUAUCCCUGGUAUUUCAUGUUACGUGGAAUAGGAGAGAGUUUGUUACGUGUUCAGGUAUGUGUCGGGGGGAGAAAAUAUUGGUGUUCUUUCUAUCUCCCGCUACCAUUUCCGCUCUGUUAAAUUUACAGAUGGCAAACACAGAAUUCUUAUUCGGUUUUCCAUUAAGCAUACUUAAGAGGAAAUAAGAAUAAAACGGUUUAUUUCAAUGAAUAAAUAAUACCACUUACCGCAUCAUAACGACUUACAUUAGUGUUUAUGUGUGUUUGUGUGAUCGGAAUAUUUGUAGUAGAAUACCUAUUGACUGUUGGAUCUUACGAGGGAGAAGGAACGUUCGAAGCAAGAAGGGGGUGAGAAGCAUCGCUUAAUGGCUCAGACUUCCGCUACCCUGCGGCUAGGCUGCAGACGGCAUGUCGCUUAUGACGUCACAAGCCACGUGUGCUCAGCCUACAGGUUGUCUGUAGCGAUGUGACAGGUGCUAGAUGCAGUGCGAGGCAGACGGACGCAAAUGUGCACCCUCUUUGAGUCGACUAACCGCCAUCCCCUCGAUACAGUAACUUAAUACGAUCCGUGUUUCCAAGGAGAAAUGACUUUUUUUUGUUAUUUUCUUUCUUCUUCGCUAUCUUGGUAUUCAAGCUCCACCUUCCAUCAUCGCGUACGGCGUAGUCUGCCCCUGAUAUCCGUCUUUCCAGCGCGACAGCAGUGCCGUAAUAGUACAGCUUCAUCUACAGGUGCAAUUGAAAACCGUCCACCAAUCUUCGUAGACGUUAGUGUGAGAGUAAACGUCGUAGGUACGACUCAGUGACGUCAUAAAGAUAGCCGAAUCUUCAUCGUAAUUGUCAUCUGAUCUUCCUGUGUCAAUCUAUAACCUAACAUAUGGCACGACAGAAAACGUCUAUGGAGUGAUGAGGAUCGUCACGGUUCAAGAUUUUUUUAACAAGGAAGGAGAGUUGUCCAGGUUUCACGAUGUACGAGCACAUUUUUGAAGAACGUUGUUCGUUGUCGCUGAAACCUGAACGAACCUCCGAUCCCUACGUACUGUACGUCACGAGAGAGGAAGAGGAUGAGGAAACAUCAACACAACAACAACAACAAAUCACAACAAAAAAUAACCCAACUAAAAAAGCGUCGAAGCUGUUAUUACAAGACACAAUUACUAGCAAGUCGAAGCAAUUAAUCCCUAAUGAUUUUGAAAGCUGUUAGUUUAUUCAACAGGGACAUCUAACCUUUCGAUUUCCCAAAUGACUUAAAGGUUUAUCCUUUAUCCAUCAAUAUUAAGCAAAUAUAGAAAAUUCCCUCGACACCAUCUCUAAACAGCUUCCUAUUUGUUGAGUAAUUGAUUAAAAUAAUUCAUCAUUAUCAUCAUCAUCAUUCUUCUUCUUCUUCGUCAAAAAAAUUUAAGCAAACAGCGGACUCGUUUACGAAUUUUAAUGAAGUAAAUAUUCGAUUUAUGUGACACGAAUCUGUGGGAUAUUUAUUACGACGUUCUUACUCCACCCAAGAAAGGAUCAAGUAAAAAAAUACGAAUGAAAGGGAAAUUGGAAUUUCGUUACCAAGAAAAGUGUUAGAUCUCAAGACGUGAGGUAUGAUCAAAUCAGACAGGAAACGGAAGUGAGGUCGCCGAUUACAGCACCCAAGUGGCCAGGUGCUCAGUCACGGUGCUCUAAUUGCACUUGACAUCUACAUAAAUCUCUCUUUCCUUUAACCUUAGUGAUAUCUAACGAAUGCAAGUGAACCGUACCACUCCAUUUUCCGGACCACAAAGAGAUAGAAAUGAUAUCUUUAUCACUUAAAUUUCCUUUCCUGAAUUAAUCUGGUUAAGUUCAUUUAGAGUGCUGGUCAGAUAAACAUGUGAAAUUUAAAUUUUGCAUAUUUACUGAUGGCUAUCUUUCAAUUGAAAACGAAUUUAAGAUAGAAUUUCUCUCUCUCUCUCUCUCUUUUUUUAAUGAAA
This 2238-nucleotide long non-coding RNA is filed under the name Centruroides sculpturatus (bark scorpion). Its description in RNAcentral is "uncharacterized LOC111629504, transcript variant X2". Lineage: Eukaryota; Metazoa; Arthropoda; Arachnida; Scorpiones; Buthidae. The record is from RNAcentral.